Molecule: ribosomal RNA, 2933 nt
Filed under: Yersinia frederiksenii
Lineage: Bacteria; Pseudomonadati; Pseudomonadota; Gammaproteobacteria; Enterobacterales; Yersiniaceae
Description: bacterial LSU rRNA
Rfam family: Bacterial large subunit ribosomal RNA
Source: RNAcentral
GGGUUGUGAGGUUAAGCGACUAAGCGUACACGGUGGAUGCCUAGGCAGUCAGAGGCGAUGAAGGGCGUGCUAAUCUGCGAAAAGCGUCGGUAAGCUGAUAUGAAGCGUUACAACCGACGAUACCCGAAUGGGGAAACCCAGUGCAAUUCGUUGCACUAUUGCAUGGUGAAUACAUAGCCAUGCAAGGCGAACCGGGGGAACUGAAACAUCUAAGUACCCCGAGGAAAAGAAAUCAACCGAGAUUCCCCCAGUAGCGGCGAGCGAACGGGGAGGAGCCCAGAGUCUGAAUCAGUUUGUGUGUUAGUGGAAGCGUCUGGAAAGUCGCACGGUACAGGGUGAUAGUCCCGUACACAAAAAUACACUUGCUGUGAACUCGAUGAGUAGGGCGGGACACGUGACAUCCUGUCUGAAUAUGGGGGACCAUCCUCCAAGGCUAAAUACUCCUGACUGACCGAUAGUGAACCAGUACCGUGAGGGAAAGGCGAAAAGAACCCCGGCGAGGGGAGUGAAAUAGAACCUGAAACCGUGUACGUACAAGCAGUGGGAGCACCUUCGUGGUGUGACUGCGUACCUUUUGUAUAAUGGGUCAGCGACUUAUAUUUUGUAGCAAGGUUAACCGAAUAGGGGAGCCGUAGGGAAACCGAGUCUUAACUGGGCGUCUAGUUGCAAGGUAUAGACCCGAAACCCGGUGAUCUAGCCAUGGGCAGGUUGAAGGUUGGGUAACACUAACUGGAGGACCGAACCGACUAAUGUUGAAAAAUUAGCGGAUGACUUGUGGCUGGGGGUGAAAGGCCAAUCAAACCGGGAGAUAGCUGGUUCUCCCCGAAAGCUAUUUAGGUAGCGCCUCGUGAACUCAUCUUCGGGGGUAGAGCACUGUUUCGGCUAGGGGGUCAUCCCGACUUACCAAACCGAUGCAAACUCCGAAUACCGAAGAAUGUUAUCACGGGAGACACACGGCGGGUGCUAACGUCCGUCGUGAAGAGGGAAACAACCCAGACCGCCAGCUAAGGUCCCAAAGUCAUGGUUAAGUGGGAAACGAUGUGGGAAGGCACAGACAGCCAGGAUGUUGGCUUAGAAGCAGCCAUCAUUUAAAGAAAGCGUAAUAGCUCACUGGUCGAGUCGGCCUGCGCGGAAGAUGUAACGGGGCUAAACCAUGCACCGAAGCUGCGGCAGCGACACUUAGGUGUUGUUGGGUAGGGGAGCGUUCUGUAAGCCGUUGAAGGUGGACUGUGAGGUCUGCUGGAGGUAUCAGAAGUGCGAAUGCUGACAUAAGUAACGAUAAUGCGGGUGAAAAGCCCGCACGCCGGAAGACCAAGGGUUCCUGUCCAACGUUAAUCGGGGCAGGGUGAGUCGACCCCUAAGGCGAGGCUGAAAAGCGUAGUCGAUGGGAAACAGGUUAAUAUUCCUGUACUCGGUGUUACUGCGAAGGGGGGACGGAGAAGGCUAGGCUAGCCGGGCGACGGUUGUCCCGGUUUAAGCAUGUAGGCGGAGUGACCUGGUAAAUCCGGUUGCUUAUCAACGCUGAGGUGUGAUGACGAUGCACUACGGUGCAGAAGUAGUUGAUGCCAAGCUUCCAGGAAAAGCCUCUAAGCAUCAGGUAACAUUGAAUCGUACCCCAAACCGACACAGGUGGUCAGGUAGAGAAUACUCAGGCGCUUGAGAGAACUCGGGUGAAGGAACUAGGCAAAAUGGUGCCGUAACUUCGGGAGAAGGCACGCUGGCAUUAGGUAAAGAGACUUGCUCUCAGAGCCGAAGCCAGUCGCAGAUACCAGCUGGCUGCAACUGUUUAAUAAAAACACAGCACUGUGCAAACACGAAAGUGGACGUAUACGGUGUGACGCCUGCCCGGUGCUGGAAGGUUAAUUGAUGGGGUCAGCCGCAAGGCGAAGCUCUUGAUCGAAGCCCCAGUAAACGGCGGCCGUAACUAUAACGGUCCUAAGGUAGCGAAAUUCCUUGUCGGGUAAGUUCCGACCUGCACGAAUGGCGUAAUGAUGGCCAGGCUGUCUCCACCCGAGACUCAGUGAAAUUGAACUCGCUGUGAAGAUGCAGUGUACCCGCGGCAAGACGGAAAGACCCCGUGAACCUUUACUAUAGCUUGACACUGAACAUUGAGCCUUGAUGUGUAGGAUAGGUGGGAGGCAUCGAAGCGUGGACGCCAGUCUGCGUGGAGCCAACCUUGAAAUACCACCCUUUAAUGUUUGAUGUUCUAACUCGGCCCCGUAAUCCGGGGUGAGGACAGUGUCUGGUGGGUAGUUUGACUGGGGCGGUCUCCUCCCAAAGAGUAACGGAGGAGCACGAAGGUUAGCUAAUCACGGUCGGACAUCGUGAGGUUAGUGCAAAGGCAUAAGCUAGCUUGACUGCGAGAGUGACGGCUCGAGCAGGUACGAAAGUAGGUCUUAGUGAUCCGGUGGUUCUGAAUGGAAGGGCCAUCGCUCAACGGAUAAAAGGUACUCCGGGGAUAACAGGCUGAUACCGCCCAAGAGUUCAUAUCGACGGCGGUGUUUGGCACCUCGAUGUCGGCUCAUCACAUCCUGGGGCUGAAGUAGGUCCCAAGGGUAUGGCUGUUCGCCAUUUAAAGUGGUACGCGAGCUGGGUUUAGAACGUCGUGAGACAGUUCGGUCCCUAUCUGCCGUGGGCGUUGGAAGAUUGAGAGGGGCUGCUCCUAGUACGAGAGGACCGGAGUGGACGAAUCACUGGUGUUCGGGUUGUCAUGCCAAUGGCAUUGCCCGGUAGCUAAAUUCGGAAGAGAUAACCGCUGAAAGCAUCUAAGCGGGAAACUUGCCUCGAGAUGAGUCUUCCCUGGGGCUUUAAGCCCCCUGAAGGAACGUUAAAGACUAUGACGUUGAUAGGCUGGGUGUGUAAGUGCAGCGAUGCAUUGAGCUAACCAGUACUAAUGAUCCGUGAGGCUUAACCUUACAACACCGAAGGUGUUU